ACGGGUGAGUAACACGUGGGCAAUCUGCCCUGCACUCUGGGACAAGCCCUGGAAACGGGGUCUAAUACCGGAUACUGACCCGCCUGGGCAUCCAGGCGGUUCGAAAGCUCCGGCGGUGCAGGAUGAGCCCGCGGCCUAUCAGCUUGUUGGUGAGGUAACGGCUCACCAAGGCGACGACGGGUAGCCGGCCUGAGAGGGCGACCGGCCACACUGGGACUGAGACACGGCCCAGACUCCUACGGGAGGCAGCAGUGGGGAAUAUUGCACAAUGGGCGCAAGCCUGAUGCAGCGACGCCGCGUGAGGGAUGACGGCCUUCGGGUUGUAAACCUCUUUCAGCAGGGAAGAAGCGCAAGUGACGGUACCUGCAGAAGAAGCGCCGGCUAACUACGUGCCAGCAGCCGCGGUAAUACGUAGGGCGCGAGCGUUGUCCGGAAUUAUUGGGCGUAAAGAGCUCGUAGGCGGCUUGUCGCGUCGGUUGUGAAAGCCCGGGGCUUAACCCCGGGUCUGCAGUCGAUACGGGCAGGCUAGAGUUCGGUAGGGGAGAUCGGAAUUCCUGGUGUAGCGGUGAAAUGCGCAGAUAUCAGGAGGAACACCGGUGGCGAAGGCGGAUCUCUGGGCC
RNAcentral lists this ribosomal RNA (620 nucleotides) under Streptomyces sp. SCAU5029. Its description in RNAcentral is "bacterial SSU rRNA". It matches the Rfam family "Bacterial small subunit ribosomal RNA", at positions 102 to 735 of the family's 1533-position model. The record is from RNAcentral. Lineage: Bacteria; Bacillati; Actinomycetota; Actinomycetes; Kitasatosporales; Streptomycetaceae.